CAUUACCGAGUUUAAACUCCCAAACCCAAUGUGAACCAUACCAAACUGUUGCCUCGGCGGGGUCACGCCCCGGGUGCGUCGCAGCCCCGGAACCAGGCGCCCGCCGGAGGGACCAACCAAACUCUUUACUGUAGUCCCCUCGCGGACGUUAUUUCUUACAGCUCUGAGCAAAAAUUCAAAAUGAAUCAAAACUUUCAACAACGGAUCUCUUGGUUCUGGCAUCGAUGAAAAACGCAGCGAAAUGCGAUAAGUAAUGUGAAUUGCAGAAUUCAUUGAAUCAUCGAAUCUUUGAACGCACAUUGCGCCCGCCAGUAUUCUGGAAGGGCAUGCCUGUCCGAGCGUCAUUUCAACCCUCGAACCCCUCCGGGGGGUCGGCGUUGGGGAUCGGGAACCCCUCAGACGGGAUCCCGGCCCCGAAAUACAGUGGCGGUCUCGCCGCAGCCUCUCCUGCGCAGUAGUUUGCACAACUCGCACCGGGAGCGCGGCGCGUCCACGUCCGUAAAACACCCAACUUCUGAAAUGUUGACCUCGGAUCAGGUAGGAAUACCCGCUGAACUUAAGCAUAUCAAUAA
This 572-nucleotide ribosomal RNA is filed under the name Trichoderma erinaceum. RNAcentral describes it as "eukaryotic LSU rRNA". The stretch from base 190 to 344 matches the Rfam family "5.8S ribosomal RNA". The record is from RNAcentral. Lineage: Eukaryota; Fungi; Ascomycota; Sordariomycetes; Hypocreales; Hypocreaceae.